UACCAGACUCCUACGGGAGGCAGCAGUGGGGAAUAUUGCACAAUGGGGGGAACCCUGAUGCAGCGACGCCGCGUGAGUGAAGAAGUAUCUCGGUACGUAAAGCUCUAUCAGCAGGGAAGAAAAUGACGGUACCUGACUAAGAAGCCCCGGCUAACUACGUGCCAGCAGCCGCGGUAAUACGUAGGGGGCAAGCGUUAUCCGGAUUUACUGGGUGUAAAGGGAGCGUAGACGGCCAGACAAGUCUGAAGUGAAAAUCCAGCGCUUAACGUUGGAAGUGCUUUGGAAACUGCCGGGCUAGAGUGCAGGAGGGGCAGGCGGAAUUCCUAGUGUAGCGGUGAAAUGCGUAGAUAUUAGGAGGAACACCAGUGGCGAAGGCGGCGUGCUGGGCUUUUACUGACGCUGAGGCUCGAAAGUGUGGGGAGCAAACAGGAUUAGAUACCCGUGUAAUG
Molecule: ribosomal RNA, 449 nt
Filed under: uncultured bacterium
Lineage: Bacteria
Description: bacterial SSU rRNA
Rfam family: Bacterial small subunit ribosomal RNA
Source: RNAcentral